This 425-nucleotide ribosomal RNA is filed under the name Pseudomonas monteilii. RNAcentral describes it as "bacterial SSU rRNA". It matches the Rfam family "Bacterial small subunit ribosomal RNA", at positions 29 to 455 of the family's 1533-position model. The record is from RNAcentral. Lineage: Bacteria; Pseudomonadati; Pseudomonadota; Gammaproteobacteria; Pseudomonadales; Pseudomonadaceae.
UCAUUGACGCUGCGGCAGGCCUAACACAUGCAAGUCCAGCGGAUGACGGGAGCUUGCUCCUUGAUUCAGCGGCGGACGGGUGAGUAAUGCCUAGGAAUCUGCCUGGUAGUGGGGGACAACGUUUCGAAAGGAACGCUAAUACCGCAUACGUCCUACGGGAGAAAGCAGGGGACCUUCGGGCCUUGCGCUAUCAGAUGAGCCUAGGUCGGAUUAGCUAGUUGGUGGGGUUAUGGCUCACCAAGGCGACGAUCCGUAACUGGUCUGAGAGGAUGAUCAGUCACACUGGAACUGAGACACGGUCCAGACUCCUACGGGAGGCAUGCAGUGGGGAAUAUUGGACAAUGGGCGAAAGCCUGAUCCAGCCAUGCCGGUGUGUGAAGAAGGUCUUCGGAUUGUAAAGCACUUUAAGUUGGGAAGGAAGGGCA